GACGAACGCUGGCGGCGUGCUUAAUACAUGCAAGUCGAACGCAGUGGGGACGGGUGAGUAACACGUGGGUAACCUCCCAUCAGAGGGGAUAACACUUGGAAACAGGUGCUAAACCGAUACUGAUGGAUGGACCCGCGGUGCAUUAGCUAGUUGGUGAGGUAACGGCUCACCAAGGCCACGAUGCAUAGCCGGCCAGAGUGCGUGAUAGGCCACACUGGGACGGCGACACGGCCCAGCCUCCUACGGGAGGCAGCAGUGGGGAAUCUUCGGCAAUGGACGAAAGUCUGACCGAGCAACGCGGCGUGAGUGAAGAAGGUUUUCGGAUCGUAGAACUCUGGUGUUAGAGAAGCGGUAUCUAACCAGAAAGCCACGGCUAACUACGGGCCAGCAGCCGCGGUAAUGC
This 403-nucleotide ribosomal RNA is filed under the name uncultured bacterium. RNAcentral describes it as "partial 16S ribosomal RNA". It matches the Rfam family "Bacterial small subunit ribosomal RNA", at positions 28 to 526 of the family's 1533-position model. The record is from RNAcentral.